RNAcentral lists this ribosomal RNA (468 nucleotides) under uncultured bacterium. RNAcentral describes it as "partial 16S ribosomal RNA". It matches the Rfam family "Bacterial small subunit ribosomal RNA", at positions 28 to 507 of the family's 1533-position model. The record is from RNAcentral.
GACGAACGCUGGCGGCGUGCUUAACAUAUGCAAGUCGAACGGAAAGGCCCUGCUUUUGUGGGGUGCUCGAGUGGCGAACGGGUGAGUAACACGUGAGUAACCUGCCCUUGACUUUGGGAUAACUUCAGGAAACUGGGGCUAAUACCGGAUAGGAGCUCCUGCUGCAUGGUGGGGGUUGGAAAGUUUCGGCGGUUGGGGAUGGACUCGCGGCUUAUCAGCUUGUUGGUGGGGUAGUGGCUUACCAAGGCUUUGACGGGUAGCCGGCCUGAGAGGGUGACCGGCCACAUUGGGACUGAGAUACGGCCCAGACUCCUACGGGAGGCAGCAGUGGGGAAUAUUGCACAAUGGGCGGAAGCCUGAUGCAGCAACGCCGCGUGCGGGAUGACGGCCUUCGGGUUGUAAACCGCUUUCGCCUGUGACGAAGCGUUAGUGACGGUAAUGGGUAAAGAAGCACCGGCUAACUACGUG